CCUACGAGAGGCAGCAGUGGGGAAUAUUGGGCAAUGGGCGCAAGCCUGACCCAGCGACGCCGCGUGAGGGAAGACGGUCUUCGGAUUGUAAACCUCUUUCAGCAGGGAAGACAAAAGGACGGUACCUGCAGAAGAAGCCACGGCUAACUACGUGCCAACAGCCGCGGUAAUGCGUAGGGAGCAAGCGUUAUCCGGAAUUACUGGGUUUAAAGCGCUCGUAGGCGGUAUGUCAAGUCAAGGGUGAAAUCCCCGCGCUCAACGUGGGAACUGCCUUUGAAACUGGCAAACUGGAGUGUGUGAGAGGAUAGUGGAAUUCCAGGUGUAGGAGUGAAAUCCGGAGAUAUCUGGAGGAACAUCAGUGGCGAAGGCGACUAUCUGGCACAUAACUGACGCUGAGGAGCGAAAGCGUGGGUAGCAAACAGGAUUAGAUACCCUUGUAGUC
This 442-nucleotide ribosomal RNA is filed under the name uncultured bacterium. RNAcentral describes it as "partial 16S ribosomal RNA". It matches the Rfam family "Bacterial small subunit ribosomal RNA", at positions 338 to 795 of the family's 1533-position model. The record is from RNAcentral.